UGUUUGAAAGUGCAAGGUGUC
Molecule: non-coding RNA, 21 nt
Filed under: Mus musculus (house mouse)
Lineage: Eukaryota; Metazoa; Chordata; Mammalia; Rodentia; Muridae
Also listed under: 1 other name
Source: RNAcentral